UAUCGGAUCUGGGCGUAAGCGUGCGUAGGCGGUUCGUUAGUCAGAUGUGAAAGCCCUGGGCUCAACCUGGGAACUGCAUUUGAAACUGGCGGACUAGAGUUUAGUAGAGGGGAGUGGAAUUUCAGGUGUAGCGGUGAAAUGCGUAGAUAUCUGAAGGAACACCAGUGGCGAAGGCGACUCCCUGGACUAGAACUGACGCUGAGGUACGAAAGCGUGGGUAGCAAACAGGAUUAGAUACCCUGGUAGUCCACGCCGUAAACGAUGUCAACUAGCCGUUGGUCCUAUUUACAGGAUUAGUGGCGCAGCUAACGCAUUAAGUUGACCGCCUGGGGAGUACGGCCGCAAGGUUAAAACUCAAAUGAAUUGACGGGGGCCCGCACAAGCGGUGGAGCAUGUGGUUUAAUUCGAUGCAACGCGAAGAACCUUACCUACCCUUGACAUCCAUAGAAUC
RNAcentral lists this ribosomal RNA (451 nucleotides) under uncultured Gammaproteobacteria bacterium. RNAcentral describes it as "bacterial SSU rRNA". It matches the Rfam family "Bacterial small subunit ribosomal RNA", at positions 543 to 997 of the family's 1533-position model. The record is from RNAcentral. Lineage: Bacteria; Pseudomonadati; Pseudomonadota; Gammaproteobacteria.